This 238-nucleotide ribosomal RNA is filed under the name uncultured bacterium. RNAcentral's name for it is "partial 16S ribosomal RNA". It matches the Rfam family "Bacterial small subunit ribosomal RNA", at positions 15 to 236 of the family's 1533-position model. The record is from RNAcentral.
GAUCCUGGCUCAGGAUGAACGCUGGCGGCGUGCCUAACACAUGCAAGUCGAGCGAGAAGUCAUGGAUGGAAUCUUCGGAGGAAAGAAAUGAUGGAAAGCGGCGGACGGGUGAGUAACGCGUAGGUAACCUGCCCCAUACAGAGGGAUAGCCACUGGAAACGGUGAUUAAUACCUCAUGACACUUUCUCUUCGCAUGGAGGGAAGGUCAAAGAUUUAUCGGUAUGGGAUGGACCUGCGU